This 3738-nucleotide long non-coding RNA is filed under the name Cucumis sativus (cucumber). Its description in RNAcentral is "long non-coding RNA (CSAT_LNC000494)". Lineage: Eukaryota; Viridiplantae; Streptophyta; Magnoliopsida; Cucurbitales; Cucurbitaceae. The record is from RNAcentral.
AUCCUCUUUCGGUAUGUUGAAAAUUGAAAUGGCCUAAUCUAUGAAUUUCCGGAGUUGUUCUAAUUCUCCGGCGGCGGUUCGUGACGGUGCUUAUCUUUUUCUCUCCGGAGACCGUUACAGACAUUCAUCACUACAGAACUCUGAAAUCUGCUUUUGUACAAAUUAAUAUUUUAUACAUAUUAGAUUAAUAGAUGUGAAAUUGUUUGUGUUGGCGUUCAGAUGAGACCUAAAAUUAGAGAAAUCUUAUCACAAAUUUAAUGAAAUUCAUAUGAAUUUAAGAGGUGUAUAACCUCAUCAAAUCGGACCACAUUUUAGAAAUAGGUUUGUGAAAUCCUCCAUUAGCAUUCAGUUCUAUCUUCGCCGUCUCGUUUUGAUGAGCAUAAACAGCGUUAAGAGGCCCGUUUGGUUUGUUGCUUUUCCCUUCUGGUGUUUGUUUAUUUAAUUUUAAUACAUUGUUUUUGUGUUUUUUCAGGGAUAUCAUUGGGGAUUCAUUCUCUCACCAGCCAUGGAUGUGGAUCCAUUCAAUCCUGAGUUUUCAAUUCUAUACUUUUAGCUUUUUAGUUUUUAAAUUUUAAUUUUCUUAAAAUCUCUACUUUUAUAUUAAAUGAUUCAAUGAAUAAUUUAUUGAAAAAAAACAAACUAAUUUAUCUUAAUUUUACCAAGCUUUUGAAAAACUUAGAAAAUAUUCGUAUAAAGCUUAAAAAACAAAUGUUUAUAUUUAUUACUGAAAAUAUUAUUAUUUUCAUUGUUUUAUUAUUUAAAAGGUAAUUAAAUUUGAGUGGUUUUUUUUUUAUAUAUAUAUAUAGGAAAAAGACCCAACUCUGUGCUUCUCUCUUUUUCGAUGAGGAAAAAAGGUGCACACAACCCAAGAGGUCCAAAGGAGAUAUGAUAAUAGAAACUUCAAACUGAAGGGUUAACACAAAUAUUCAUCUUCCCCACAAAGUUAAUACCUUACUAAGGAUAUGAUCAUAUCUCUCAUGGGAUAUUAUUCAAAUUGAAAGGACUCAAUCAUACUAAAGAAGGAGGUGGGGGCGUACCUCCUCGUCAACUACAAUCAUCUUUAUUUGUAUUAUUGAUAAGUUUUUGCCUUACAAGUGUGUGGAUAAGGAACAACUCAGAAUGUGGGACUUUAACACAAUGUCACAUCAAAAUACGAACAAUAAUGAAACAUAAAUUAUUAGAAAUUCCUAAUUCACAUUACAAUUUUAAUCUAAUUAUAAAAAUCAUUCUGAGGCUGCGAAAACAAAAUCUCUCAUUUUGGAACUUUGAAUUCAUGUUUCUACCAACUAAAAUUAAAUUAAACUCAAAACAAAUUAUUAUUUACACUUAAAACACUAUGAUAACCUAAACCAAGUUAUUAUUGUUUGUUUUCCUUUGGACAAGCAAGAUUUGAAAUUGUUUACAAAUACAAAUAUUUGUUGAGUUUUCGUAUUUGUUUGAGUUAUAUUUCUUUUCAAGUUUCUGUAUGUCAGAUGAGGCAGUUCAAUUUGAUAAAUAUUAUCCGUAGUUCAAUUUGACAAAUAUUAUCCAUUAUUCUCGGGGGUACAUUUGAUAAACCUCGAUUUUGAUGAAUGAGCACUAAAAGAUUUUUAUUAGGAUACAUUUUCUUUAGGAAAUUGAAGUGCAAAUUUGAUUUGAGAAAACUCAAUUUGCUUGAAGAUUGAUUGUCUCAAUGCUUAGAUAAAUCACUCUUGUUUUUGUUUUUUCAAUUUUUUUGAAUUCUUGCUUAGAUAUUCUCCACAUUUUCUUUUAUGUUUUCCUUUUUCUAUCAAAAACUUUGAUCAAAAAGUAAAGAGUAAAUUUUAAAUAAAUUUUGGUUAAACAUUAAGCAAGUUUCAUUUAGUAGCUGAUAAUAUAUAAUAAUAACCAAUGUAAAAUACAUCAUAGUAUAUUUGUAACUAACUAUUAAACGUGUCCAAAUUUUCUUAGAACUUUUCAAACUAACAUAAAUGGCAAAUUUUUGAAGUUCCUCAAAAGAAAAAUAGUAAAAAGUUCUUAAAAUCUUAAAAAUAGCAAAACAAUUUGUAAAAAACAAAAAUACUACUUAGUCAAACUUAAACAAAUUUUGAAUUGAGAAUUUCAAUAUCUCAUUCAACAAAGUGAGAAAAUUAUUUUAAAAGUAUCAAACACUAAAGAAUUAAAGAUGGAAAUGACACAAUUAUCAAUACAUAAUAAAAUCACAUAUCAACAUCUACAAAGAUAAAGUUGUUAUUUAUGAGUAAAUGGGUAAAUUGAAUAUCAUAUAUGUACUAGUAAAUAAAAAAAAUAAAUAAUGAAUCAAUUUACUAAAAAUUAGUUCAUUCAAACACAAAAUCCAACUAACUUUUAAAAAAACGGUUAUCAACAAAUGGCAAAGUCAAAGCCCCAAUUUUAGUAUCCAAUUUUGCUAAAUCUCUCGUUUUGCAAAUUUUCUCCUUCCAUUACCUUUUUCUUGAUGAUAUUUGGAAGAACCUCGAGAUCGAUCUAAAGCAUAGUAUGUUUUCUUCGACGUUUUUGGUUUCAAAAUCUUCUAAGCCAAUUUGUAGAGUUAUACCUUCUCAACACCUUACUGUUCGUUUUCUCGACAAUCAACUUGGUGGCUCUUUAGGAUCGCCAUCAACGUCCCCAUUGUUUUCUUCUUCUUCUUCUUCGUCAAUUACAUCUCAACAAACUGGCUGCGGAGGAGGCGAGAAUAGAAGAAGCUUUGUAUUUGACUUCUUGAUCAAAUUGAUUUCUUCAGGGAUAUUGAUUGGCGGAGUGGGAUCACUUCUCAGCUCGAAUUCUUCCGCGUCCAAUUCGCAUUUAUCGUUUGCUGACUUCCCUAAAGAAACAACAUGGACAACAGUGAAAGAAGAUCAAUUCCAAUACCCAUCAUCACCAAAUCACCAAAAUAUAAAUCCAAAGAAGAAAUCCAAAUUUCUAUUUGGAGGUAAGAAUGUUCCCUUUUUCCCAUUGAUCUAAGUUAAAUGUGUUUAGGCUAAAGUUUACCAUUUCAUUCAUACUUUACACUGGACUCCAGAUGAUUAUAGGAGAAGGGUGUUUUUCAACUAUGAAAAACGUAUAAGAAUCCAAAGUCCUCCUGAGAAGGUGUUUGAAUAUUUUGCGUCUAUCCACACACCUGAAGGGGAAAUAUAUAUGAGACCAUCAGAUCUGAUGAGGGCCAUUGUCCCUGUGUUUCCUCCAUCUGAGUCCAAUCGUGUUAGAGAAGGCUUUUUAAGAGGAGAAAGAAGAAUGUCUGGAGAACUAUGUUGUGCUCCUUCUACCUUUUUCAUGCUCUUCGACACCAACAAUGAUGGCCUCAUCUCUUUUGCAGAGUAAGAAUUCUUGGACCUUUCUUCCAACUUCAUGAUCAUUUACACAACCGGACAUUCACAUAUAGUUGAACUUCAUUCAAACUUAAAUAAAUACCUAAUGCUUUUAUUAUAAUUUUUAGUUCAUGAUUUAUUUCCGGUGAGCUAUCUAAUAAAUUGUUGAAUUUUAAUAAGGUUAAAGUAUUCAACUUUAAGUUUAUAGUGCCCAAACCUAUGGGAUCAAAACCAAAAGAUCAUGCAUUGUGCUCUCAUCUCUUCUGUUUGCAGGUACAUAUUUUUUGUUACACUUCUCAGCAUACCAGAAUCCAGCUUUUCAGUGGCAUUCAAAAUGUUUGACAUUGAUAACAAUGGGUUAGAUAAUUAAUUGCUUCUUCAAAUUCGUCACUUUCCACAUUUGUUUCCUCUACUAUUCACAAUCCUCUUGGGUAAUGAAUGUUAUCUGUGUUAU